This 348-nucleotide unclassified non-coding RNA is filed under the name soil metagenome. Its description in RNAcentral is "partial contains 5.8S ribosomal RNA, internal transcribed spacer 2, and large subunit ribosomal RNA". The stretch from base 1 to 120 matches the Rfam family "5.8S ribosomal RNA", at positions 35 to 154 of the family's 154-position model. The record is from RNAcentral.
GAUGAAGAACGUAGUGAAAUGCAAUAAGUAAUGUGAAUUGCAGAAUUCAGUGAAUCAUCGAGUCUUUGAACGCACAUUGCGCCCCCUGGUAUUCCGGGGGGCAUGCCUGUCCGAGCGUCAUUGCUGCCCUCAAGCACGGCUUGUGUGUUGGGCCGCCGUCCCCGGUUUCCCCCGGGGACGGGCCCGAAAGGCAGCGGCGGCACCGCGUCCGAUCCUCGAGCGUAUGGGGCUUUGUCACCCGCUCUGUAGGCCCGGCCGGCGCCAGCCGACACCCAACUUUAUUUCUAAGGUUGACCUCGGAUCAGGUAGGGAUACCCGCUGAACUUAAGCAUAUCAAUAAGCGGAGGA